CAAUCUACCAGAUUUUACAGUGCCCUGUGAAGUAUAUAUGUACAUAUGUAUAAGCAGAAUCUGCUUUUACUUCCUAGUGCAUUUUCGCAGAUCGAUUGGUUAGUAUUUCCACCCAGUUUCCUUCAUCCAUAGCUUAAAUGACAUUAAUGCUGAAUACGAUAGACAUAUUGCGCAUCCUCGGAUAUGUACGUCCCUCUAUUCUCAGUCAAUCUAAUUAUUUUCGUGGCAUUUCCUAUCCUAUACCCUGCAACGAGCGUCCUACGGUCAGUUUUUUAUUUGCCAUCACAUCUCAGUGGAGACUAGAGGGCGCUAGAUGAUCGAAUUCUACCAGACUAUGUUAACAGAACAGCUUGGAAAAGCUUGCGGCUCUAUAAAAAAAACUGCAGCUAAACCUUACUCUCUUUCUCAAACAUUCCUUUGUUGCGGCGUUGACUUCCGAAAGGAAAGUAAAGAAAAAACCAAACUAUAAGCGUUUCAACAUUGCUAUUUCGUAUGCAUGGUAUACGUAUCGUGGGACAAAUUUUAUACACGGUACUCGAAGAGUAAAGGGUGUAUUAUAUCUGUGGUACAAAAUGUAACACCCAGAAAGAAGCCUUUCCGACCCUUAAAAUAUAUAUAUUCUUGAUCAGCAUCAAUAGCCGGAACCUAUCCUUGGAUAGGGUCUCUAGGGACUUUUCGCGAGCUUCGAAGUAGCCGUCUUUUUAAACUUUUCCCAGUUAAAAAUAAAGGAAUUUCUAUAGAAUUUCUUCGUAGCGUUCUUAAAUUAAUCACACUUGAACUGAAUGUAGAAGGAUGGUCUUUUCAAAACUCCAAGACAGAUAC
This 822-nucleotide long non-coding RNA is filed under the name Drosophila guanche. Lineage: Eukaryota; Metazoa; Arthropoda; Insecta; Diptera; Drosophilidae. The record is from RNAcentral.